AAAAAAUGACACAAACUUUACAAAAGUUGUCCAUCUGAACUUCAAAAGCCAUGUACUACAUGAUUUAUUUCUUCCUAAUCUAAGCUCUACACUUAGGAGAUUGUUGUGACCCCAGCCAUGAAAGUCUUCACCCGCCGACACACAAGAAAACAUGGGUUAAUCCUUAAUUGCAUUAAACCUGCACAAAAAUGAAGUCAGGAACAAUAGCUGGUUGUAAGUACAGGUUCUAAUAGUGAGAAUUCUGGCAAGAUAAAAUCUGAAACAUGAAAAUUAGUGAGGGUUUCCUCAGUUGGGCAUCAAAAAGGGCAUUCAAAAUCAACAAAAUGAAUAACAAGAGUUGCGUAGCAAAUAAUAUACUGCUGACUUGUACCAUAAAUCCCAGGUAUUAACUUGUUCAUACGCAAGUACUGACAGUCAUAUGGAAACUUUCUUUUUACUUGGAAAACAUGAAAAAUGUUUAUAAUCACACUGCUCGUUUGUCUAUUUCCAAUCUUGCUGCACCGGCUGAGGAUAAACUUUUACCCUUACGAUUUACCUAUUCAGCUCAUGCUUCACUUGCAAUACAAGCACCACAUUAUUAGAGUAUACCUCUGGAAAGUAUGGUCCUGAAUAUAUGUUGACACAACGAGAAUUAUCGUAUUGUUGGCAGGGUGUGCUGUUUUUUUUAUCUAAUGAAGCAAUUGAUCCAUCUGCGACAAACACACUAGUGUCAAUGUUAGUGUAGAGUGGAGGCGUUGAUGAUAAGAACAAUAUGAUUAAACUAGAUUUUAGCAACUGAUGGACCUAAACUGAGUAACACUGAACGCCGAAACUGAAAAAAAUUGAGCAGGCUGGCAUUACCUGUGUUCUGCCUGCUAGCACUAAGCUCGAGGAAAUGGCUGUUGUAGCACUGGUUUCUUCAUAUAAAAGUACUAACUAUCACGUGGAAACAUUUAUAAACAUGAGCCGAGGCCUGCUGGAGCCUUGAUAUCUUCAUAUAAAAGUACCAACUGUCUAUUUUCCAGUCUUAUAGUUGCAACUGAGGAUAAUUUUUGUAGCCCUUCUAACUGCAGAUUACAGGGACCUCAGAAUUUAUGAGAUUUUGCAAACGGAUUAUAAGGAAUGCCGACAUUCUACCACUGAUGGAUUACUACAUUGUAUAUACGAACUGAAAACACCAGUUUCAGGGAAAUGAUGAACUACAUAAUAAAAUCAAGAAGAUGAACUUGCAAUGCAUUCAGCAAGUUAAGUUGGACACUGCAAAGUGCACUUUCUACUUAAUAUUUUUUACUAAUAAACGAUCAAAACAGGGAGUCAAACCUUGUGCUUGACAUACAGAUUGUACAAACAUAUUUCCCCUCGUCUAUUUUUCCAAUCGCCUACAAUUACUGGUAAAAUUAUCCAUUAGAACUGCAUGUGGCACAUUGAUUCGGUGCUCAUACUAUUCAAUUUACCAAAUGCCACUGCAUUCAAACGAAUCAGUGAACCGAAGGAUUGGGAACUUGGAUAACAGAAGAACCAAAAUUAGUGAUCAUACCGUGGAUCCUUUAUCAGUAAAAAGAGGAUGGUUGGCUCCUAAUCAGCCGCAACAUCGAUAUCCCCGAAGCUACAGCGCCGCGUCGCUAGGUGGACGCAAUCGCGGCGAGCCGCCAGUGGACCACCUGAGUUGGAUUCUGGGCACUGAUGCGUCAACGCCGGAAGCCGGACAGAGAGAGAUAAAUUGGACGGGGGGAGGGCGCAUCUGGUGUAACGAGGGACCAACACAGAGAGAGAGCUCGCCUAGAUUUUGCUUAGCCCUAGCUCCAGGCUUGGUACAGAACACAGGAAGGGGAGGAAGACGAUCUGGAUUUGUGGAGGUCAAUUCGCUGGAUUUAGCUGUACUGCAAGGACUGUUUUGCAAAUAUACCAGGAGCCCAAUCAUCGAACCGAAUCCUGUCCCUCUCUUACGAAUCCAA
Molecule: long non-coding RNA, 1934 nt
Filed under: Triticum aestivum (bread wheat)
Lineage: Eukaryota; Viridiplantae; Streptophyta; Magnoliopsida; Poales; Poaceae
Description: long non-coding RNA (TAES_LNC024406)
Source: RNAcentral